This 72-nucleotide transfer RNA is filed under the name Camelus dromedarius (Arabian camel). It matches the Rfam family "tRNA". From Rfam's summary of the family: Transfer RNA (tRNA) molecules are approximately 80 nucleotides in length. Their secondary structure includes four short double-helical elements and three loops (D, anti-codon, and T loops). Lineage: Eukaryota; Metazoa; Chordata; Mammalia; Artiodactyla; Camelidae. RNAcentral also lists the same sequence under 1 other name. The record is from Rfam by way of RNAcentral.
GAGGGUGUAGCUCAGUGGUAGAGCUCAUGCUUAGCAUGCACUAGAUCCAGGGUUCAAGCCCCAGUACCUUCG